Molecule: ribosomal RNA, 250 nt
Filed under: uncultured bacterium
Lineage: Bacteria
Description: partial 16S ribosomal RNA
Rfam family: Bacterial small subunit ribosomal RNA
Source: RNAcentral
UACGUAGGUGGCAAGCGUUAUCCGGAAUUACUGGGCGUAAAGCGCACGCAGGCGGCGCAUCAAGUUCGACGUGAAAGCUCCCGGCUUAACUGGGAGAGGUCGUUGAAGACUGAUGUGCUUGAGGCAAUGAGAGGGGUGUAGAAUUCCCGGUGUAGUGGUGGAAUGCGUAGAUAUCGGGGGGAAUACCAGUGGCGAAAGCGGCACCCUAGCAUUAGCCUGACGCUCAUGUGCGAAAGCGUGGGGAGCGAAC